RNAcentral lists this ribosomal RNA (1402 nucleotides) under uncultured bacterium. RNAcentral's name for it is "16S ribosomal RNA". It matches the Rfam family "Bacterial small subunit ribosomal RNA". The record is from RNAcentral.
GAUAGUGGCGGACGGGUGAGUAACGCGUGGGUAACCUGCCCUUAAGAGGGGGAUAACACCGCGAAAGUGGUGCUAAUACCGCAUGAAGUCAUAAUACUGCCUGGUAGAAUGACCAAAGGAGUAAUCCGCUUAAGGAUGGACCCGCGUCUGAUUAGCUAGUUGGUGGGGUAACGGCCUACCAAGGCGACGAUCAGUAGCCGGCCUGAGAGGGUGAUCGGCCACACUGGGACUGAGACACGGCCCAGACUCCUACGGGAGGCAGCAGUGGGGAAUCUUCCGCAAUGGACGAAAGUCUGACGGAGCAACGCCGCGUGAGUGAGGAAGGCCUUCGGGUUGUAAAACUCUGUCUUCAGGGAAGAAAAAAAUGACGGUACCUGAGGAGGAAGCCACGGCUAACUACGUGCCAGCAGCCGCGGUAAUACGUAGGUGGCAAGCGUUAUCCGGAAUUAUUGGGCGUAAAGAGCAUGUAGGCGGGAAUUUAAGUCAGAUGUGAAAACUUGGGGCUCAACCUCAAGAUUGCAUCUGAAACUGAAUUUCUUGAGGGUAUGAGAGGAAAGCGGAAUUCCUAGUGUAGCGGUGAAAUGCGUAGAUAUUAGGAGGAACACCAGUGGCGAAAGCGGCUUUCCGGCAUACAACUGACGCUGAGAUGCGAAAGCGUGGGGAGCAAACAGGAUUAGAUACCCUGGUAGUCCACGCCGUAAACGAUGGGUACUAGGUGUAGGAGGUAUCGACCCCUUCUGUGCCGCAGUUAACACAUUAAGUACCCCGCCUGGGGAGUACGGCCGCAAGGUUGAAACUCAGAGGAAUUGACGGGGGCCCGCACAAGCGGUGGAGCAUGUGGUUUAAUUCGACGCAACGCGAAGAACCUUACCAGGGCUUGACAUCGAGUGAAAAGUCUAGAGAUAGACUCCUCCCUUCGGGGACACGAAGACAGGUGGUGCAUGGUUGUCGUCAGCUCGUGUCGUGAGAUGUAGGGUUAAGUCCCGCAACGAGCGCAACCCUUAUCCUUAGUUGCCAGCGAGUAGAGUCGGGCACUCUAGGGAGACUGCCGGUGACAAACCGGAGGAAGGUGGGGAUGACGUCAAAUCAUCAUGCCCCUUAUGUCCUGGGCUACACACGUGCUACAAUGGACGGUACAGAGGGAAGCUAAGCCGUGAGGUGGAGCAAAUCCCACAAAGCCGUUCUCAGUUCGGAUUGUAGUCUGCAACUCGACUACAUGAAGUCGGAAUCGCUAGUAAUCGCAGGUCAGCACACUGCGGUGAAUACGUUCCCGGGCCUUGUACACACCGCCCGUCACACCACGAAAGUCUGCAACACCCGAAGCCGGUGAGCUAACUCGAAAGAGAGGCAGCCGUCUAAGGUGGGGCCGAUGAUUGGGGUGAAGUCGUAACAAGGUAACCGU